This 501-nucleotide small RNA is filed under the name Pan troglodytes (chimpanzee). RNAcentral's name for it is "retained intron". Lineage: Eukaryota; Metazoa; Chordata; Mammalia; Primates; Hominidae. The record is from RNAcentral.
GAUGAAGAUGACAUCAAACUGUCAGAUGCAGACCUCCGGGCUGAAGUGGACACAUUCAUGUUUGAAGGCCAUGACACCACCACCAGUGGUAUCUCCUGGUUUCUCUACUGCAUGGCCCUGUACCCUGAGCACCAGCAUCGUUGUAGAGAGGAGGUCCGUGAGAUCCUAGGGGACCAGGACUCCUUCCAGUGGGAUGAUCUGGGCAAGAUGACUUAUCUGACCAUGUGCAUCAAGGAGAGCUUCCGCCUCUACCCACCUGUGCCCCAGGUGUACCGCCAGCUCAGCAAGCCUGUCACCUUUGUGGAUGGCCGGUCUCUACCUGCAGGUGGGAUGGGUGGAUUUGGGGGUGGAAAAGGAGUCCCUGCAUGCUCCUCUGGCACCCUCUGUGCCUUUAGUCAAAUCUUUGCACUUUUGGGGAAGAGCUCAGGCUUUGCGUUCAGAGGGCCCUGGGUCUAAAUCCCAGCCCCGCAACAUAUUGAUCAAUUCUUCUACCUCUGAGCC